GACAGGUGCUGCAUGGCUGUCGUCAGCUCGUGUUGUGAAAUGUUGGGUUAAGUCUCGCGACGAGCGCAACCCCUAUCUUUAGUUGCCAGCAUUAAGUUGGGCACUCUAGAGAGACUGCCCGGGUUAACCGGGAGGAAGGUGGGGAUGACGUCAAGUCCUCAUGGCCCUUAGCCUUGGGCUACACACGUAAUACAAUGGUUGGUACAGAGGGAAGCGAGCACGCGAGUGUUAGCAAAUCUCAAAAAGCCAAUCUCAGUCCGGAUUGGAGUCUGCAACUCGACUCCAUGAAGUUGGAGUCGCUAGUA
Molecule: ribosomal RNA, 305 nt
Filed under: uncultured Peredibacter sp.
Lineage: Bacteria; Pseudomonadati; Bdellovibrionota; Bacteriovoracia; Bacteriovoracales; Bacteriovoracaceae
Description: bacterial SSU rRNA
Rfam family: Bacterial small subunit ribosomal RNA
Source: RNAcentral